CAUUUAAAUAGAAAAACUCUGUACCUUCUCUUCUGGUCAGAAUAUAUCUACCUAUCUAAUAUAUUAAUUACAGAUAUGCUAAUAUACAGCUAAUAUAGUAGACCAUAAUCAGCUGCCCUUGAUUAGUGCAAUUAGGAGACCAUAAUCAGCUGCUCUUGACUUUUGUAAUUAGUAGACUAGAUCCCAUAAUCAGCUGUCCUUGACUUUUGCAUUUAGUAGACCAUAAUCAGCUGACCUUGACUUUUGUAAUUAGUAGACUAGAUCCCAUUGCCCUUGAUAUCCCCCCUCAAAUUGAUGCUGGUCGAUCAAAAAGCAUCAAUUUGUCAACCAGAAAAUUGUGUCUAUGACGAGAGAGGGCUUUCGAAAGUAUAUCAGCAGUUUGAAGAUCAGUGGUGAUAUGAGGAAGAGGGAUAACAUGAUCAUCAUAUGCUUCGCGGAUAGAGUGACAAUCAACUUCAAUAUGUUUUGUACGCUCGUGAAAUACAGGAUUAGCACGAUUAGUAGCUCUUGGUAAUCGGCAAGAGUAUGGAGUAGAUUAUGAGGAGACCUUUGCUCCUGUGGCAAAGAUGACAGCAGUUUGGCUUGUUCUAGCUAUUGCUGCUUCUACGGGCUGGUCAUUGCGACAGAUGGAUGUUAAGAAUGCCUUUUUACAUGGCAAUCUGCAAGAAGAGAUUUAUAUGACUCCACCAUUAAAGUUAUUUUCUACAUCUUCAUCUGAUGUUUGUAAGCUAAAACACUCGCUCUAUGGCUUAAAACAAGCUCCACGGGCUUGGUUUGAUAAGUUCCGUUCUACGCUUAUUAGCUUCUCAUUUGUUCAGAGUCAGUAUGACUCCUCUUUGUUUCUUCGCAAAGACUGAUAAGGGUCUUGUUUUACUUCUUGUAUAUGUUGAUGAUAUUGUUAUCACAGGAAAUGACUCUGAAUUAAUAUCUCAACUUCAGGAGCAUCUUCAACGUUCUUUUCAUAUGAAGGAUUUAGGUCCUCUACAAUAUUUUUUGGGUCUAGAAGUGCACUCUACCUCAGCUGGUAUUUUCUUACAUGAGCAUAAAUACAUCCAGGAAUUAAUUGCUUUGGCAGGUCUCCAAGAUGGUCGGUCUGUUGAUACCCCCUUGGAAGUAAAUGUUAAAAAUUGCCGUGAUGAGGGUGAUUUUCUCUCAGAUCCCUCUCUCUAUCGGCAAUUGGUGGGAAGUCUCAACUUUUUAACUAUUACUCGGCCUGAUAUUUCAUUUGCUAUUCAACAAGUUAGUCAAUUUAUGCAGGCGCCUAGGCACCUCCAUCUAGCUGCUGUUCGUCACAUUAUUCGUUAUUUACUAGGCACUUCCUCUCGUGGUCUUUUCUUCUCCAGAAAUUCUCCUGAUCAUUUGGUAGCCUAUAGUGACGCUGACUGGGCGGGUUGUUCAGAUACUAGACGUUCAGUUACUGGUUGGUGCAUGUUUCUUGGAAAUUCUCUUAUUUCUUGGAAAAGCAAAAAGCAAGAUAGGGUGUCUAAGUCCUCUAUGAGUCAGGGUAUCGUGUUAUAUCCUCUGCAUGUUCUGAGAUCAUUUGGCUUUGAGAUAGUCUACUAAUUACAAAAUUCAAGGUCAGCUGAAUAUGGUCUACUAAAUGCAAAAGUCAAGGACAGCUGAUUAUGAGAUCUGGUCUACUAAAUGCAAAAGUCAAGGACAGCUGAUUAUGGGAUCCAGUCUACUAAUUACAAAAGUCAAGGGCAGCUGAUUAUGGUCUAGUAAUUGCACUAAUCAAGGGCAGCUGAUUAUGGUUUACUAUAUUAGCUGUAUAUUAGCAUAUCUGUAAUUAAUAUAUUAGAUAGGUAGAUAUAUUCUAACCAGAAGAGAAGGUACACAGUUUUCUAUAGACAUUCUUUCAAAAAAAAAAAAAACAAAGAUCUAAAUUACAAGAAAGGCUGCCAACCACAAUAUGAUUGACCCAAAAGGAUAUCUUGAAACCAAAUAAUUGAUCAAAAUAAUUAACCCAAGAAGAAUAACAACUCAAAAAGUUUGGAAAGGCGGAGAAAUUCAAAUAACUGGCUCUGAUACUGUGACAAGUUUUCUAGAUCCAAGACUGAAUGCCGUCUUUUGUGCAUCUUUUCCAUUUAAAUAGAAAAACUGUGUACCUUCUCUUCUGGUUAGAAUAUAUCUACCUAUCUAAUAUAUUAAUUACAUAUAUGCUAAUAUACAGCUAAUAUAGUAGACCAUAAUCAGCUACCCUUGAUUAGUGCAAUUAGUAGACCAUAAUCAACUGCCCUUGACUUUUGUAAUUAGUAGACUAGAUCCCAUAAUCAGCUGUCCUUAACUUUUGCAUUUAGUAGACCAGAUCCCAUAAUCAGCUGUCCUUGACUUUUGCAUUUAGUAGACCAUAAUUAGCUGACCUUGACUUUUGUAAUUAGUAGACUAGAUCCCAUUUCCCUUGAUAAUUAAAUGCAUAACAUAGCUAAAUUCAACUAAGUUGCAAAAAAAAAAAAA
Molecule: long non-coding RNA, 2457 nt
Filed under: Coffea arabica (coffee)
Lineage: Eukaryota; Viridiplantae; Streptophyta; Magnoliopsida; Gentianales; Rubiaceae
Description: long non-coding RNA (CARA_LNC005031)
Source: RNAcentral